Long non-coding RNA from Tigriopus californicus, 539 nucleotides. RefSeq lists it as uncharacterized. Lineage: Eukaryota; Metazoa; Arthropoda; Copepoda; Harpacticoida; Harpacticidae. The transcript has 2 exons. The record is from RefSeq and is a predicted model, not a curated record.
ACCCCUAAUCCAAUAUACACAGAGGGUUAUAUCUUCACGUCCCUUCUAUUCAAGAUCAAGAUUAGGAGUCAGAGAGGCAGAGAGAUAUAUAGAGAGAGCAAUAGAGAAAGAGAGAGCAGGACAGCUGCAUAUGCGCAUGUGCAUGCAAUACAAGUACACACCAAUCCUCGGCCUGAGACUGGCCAGGUAUGUAAGUAGAAGCAAAUGCAUACUUUCUUAUUCGUUUUGUUUGAAGGACUAUGCACAACAAGUGCGGUUCAGUUGACGAUGCAAUAUUUUCUUUUCAGAAGAAAAACAAAGCCAAAUAAUGGACCGGUAGUUGCGUGCCGCUGCGUGUUCAGUCAAUGCUCUGUUGGCCAUGGUUGGCCUGACUUUGCUGAGAUUGCACUUCAGGGAAAGACCAUAAACCCGAGGGAAAAGACCGUCGAAAGUCAUCAUGGCCCAGGGAUUAUUUCUAUUCUAGAUCACACGCUAAACGCAGCUAUAUUUAGAGCGGAAACUAUACUGGGCUUAAAAUACAUAAGUAAACAAUCGCCUCA